UACAGAGGUCUCAAGCGUUGUUCGGAUUCAUUGGGCGUAAAGGGUGCGCAGGCGGCGCCGCAAGUCAGGUGUGAAAGCCUGGAGCUUAACUCCAGAAGUGCACUUGAUACUGCGGUGCUAGAGGACUGGAGAGGAGACUGGAAUUCACGGUGUAGCAGUGAAAUGCGUAGAUAUCGUGAGGAAGGCCAGUGGCGAAGGCGGGUCUCUGGACAGUUCCUGACGCUCAGGCACGAAGGCUAGGGGAGCAAACGGG
RNAcentral lists this ribosomal RNA (253 nucleotides) under uncultured bacterium. RNAcentral's name for it is "partial 16S ribosomal RNA". It matches the Rfam family "Bacterial small subunit ribosomal RNA", at positions 524 to 776 of the family's 1533-position model. The record is from RNAcentral.